AUUGAACGCUGGCGGCAUGCCUUACACAUGCAAGUCGAACGGUAACGGGUCUUCGGAUGCUGACGAGUGGCGAACGGGUGAGUAAUACAUCGGAACGUGCCCGAUCGUGGGGGAUAACGAGGCGAAAGCUUUGCUAAUACCGCAUAAGAUCUACGGAUGAAAGCAGGGGACCGCAAGGCCUUGCGCGAACGGAGCGGCCGAUGGCAGAUUAGGUAGUUGGUGGGAUAAAAGCUUACCAAGCCGACGAUCUGUAGCUGGUCUGAGAGGACGACCAGCCACACUGGGACUGAGACACGGCCCAGACUCCUACGGGAGGCAGCAGUGGGGAAUUUUGGACAAUGGGCGAAAGCCUGAUCCAGCCAUGCCGCGUGCAGGAUGAAGGCCUUCGGGUUGUAAACUGCUUUUGUACGGAACGAAAAGACUCUGGUUAAUACCUGGGGUCCAUGACGGUACCGUAAGAAUAAGCACCGGCUAACUACGUG
This 482-nucleotide ribosomal RNA is filed under the name uncultured bacterium. RNAcentral's name for it is "partial 16S ribosomal RNA". It matches the Rfam family "Bacterial small subunit ribosomal RNA", at positions 30 to 507 of the family's 1533-position model. The record is from RNAcentral.